GAGUUUGAUCCUGGCUCAGAUUGAACGCUGGCGGCAUGCCUUACACAUGCAAGUCGAACGGCAGCAUGAUCUAGCUUGCUAGAUUGAUGGCGAGUGGCGAACGGGUGAGUAAUACAUCGGAACGUGCCCUGUAGUGGGGGAUAACUAGUCGAAAGAUUAGCUAAUACCGCAUACGACCUGAGGGUGAAAGUGGGGGAUCGCAAGGCCUCAUGCUAUAGGAGCGGCCGAUGUCUGAUUAGCUAGUUGGUGGGGUAAAGGCCCACCAAGGCGACGAUCAGUAGCUGGUCUGAGAGGACGAUCAGCCACACUGGGACUGAGACACGGCCCAGACUCCUACGGGAGGCAGCAGUGGGGAAUUUUGGACAAUGGGCGAAAGCCUGAUCCAGCAAUGCCGCGUGUGUGAAGAAGGCC
This 411-nucleotide ribosomal RNA is filed under the name uncultured microorganism. Its description in RNAcentral is "bacterial SSU rRNA". It matches the Rfam family "Bacterial small subunit ribosomal RNA", at positions 9 to 416 of the family's 1533-position model. The record is from RNAcentral.